CCUACGGGCGGCAGCAGUGGGGAAUAUUGCACAAUGGGCGCAAGCCUGAUGCAGCCAUGCCGCGUGUAUGAAGAAGGCCUUCUGGUUGUAAAGUACUUUCAGCGGGGAGGAAGGUGUUGUGGUUAAUAACCACAGCAAUUGACGUUACUCGCAGAAGAAGCACCGGCUAACUCCGUGCCAGCAGCCGCGGUAAUACGGAGGGUGCAUGCGUUAAUCGGAAUUACUGGGCGUAAAGCGCACGCAGGCGGUCUGUCAAGUCGGAUGUGAAGUCCCCGGGCUCAACCUGGGAACUGCAUUCGAAACUGGCAGGCUAGAGUCUUGUAGAGGGGGGUAGAAUUCCAGGUGUAGCGGUGAAAUGCGUAGAGAUCUGGAGGAAUACCGGUGGCGAAGGCGGCCCCCUGGACAAAGACUGGCGCUCAGGUGCGAAAGCGUGGGGAGCAAACAGGAUUAGAUACCCCCGUAGUC
Molecule: ribosomal RNA, 465 nt
Filed under: uncultured bacterium
Lineage: Bacteria
Description: bacterial SSU rRNA
Rfam family: Bacterial small subunit ribosomal RNA
Source: RNAcentral